Molecule: non-coding RNA, 73 nt
Organism: Syngnathoides biaculeatus (alligator pipefish)
Lineage: Eukaryota; Metazoa; Chordata; Actinopteri; Syngnathiformes; Syngnathidae
Source: the annotation of a RefSeq genome assembly
GGCCCCAUAGCUCAGUGGUUAGAGCACUGAUUUUGUAAGCCAGGGGUUGUGGGUUCAUAUCCCACUGGGGCCU